UACGGGGGGGGCAAGCGGUUGUUCGGAAUUACUGGGCGUAAAGGGCUCGUAGGUUGCCAACUAAGUCGGACGUGAAAUCCCUCGGCUUAACCGGGGAACUGCGUCCGAUACUGGAUGGCUGGAGUUUGGGAGAGGGAUGCGGAAUUCCAGGUGUAGCGGUGAAAUGCGUAGAUAUCUGGAGGAACACCGGUGGCGAAGGCGGCAGUCCUGGACCAAU
This 217-nucleotide ribosomal RNA is filed under the name uncultured bacterium. RNAcentral's name for it is "partial 16S ribosomal RNA". It matches the Rfam family "Bacterial small subunit ribosomal RNA", at positions 524 to 738 of the family's 1533-position model. The record is from RNAcentral.